Non-coding RNA from Arachis ipaensis, 3889 nucleotides. NCBI's taxonomy places the organism in Eukaryota, Viridiplantae, Streptophyta, Magnoliopsida, Fabales, Fabaceae. The record is from RefSeq and is a predicted model, not a curated record.
UUAGAAAGCACAGAAUUCUACAAUGAGUAAGCAACCACCCAAUACCUUUCAUGUGCUACAUGUUAUCCGGGAUGCAAGUAACUUUGUUUAUGUUUCUGUUUUAAGUUAUUCUGUUGCCCCCUACAUGGUUUUGCUUGCAAUAAAUCGUCGAAUAUUACUCGUAUAUUACUCUCCCAUCUCAUAAUUGUGAUAAAAUGUUAUUAGUUCUCCUGACACAUAGCCCAUUUUUUUUAGUUUUUUUAGGUUUAUGUCUUUGUUUACUGUUAUUUAUUUGUUUGUGCUAUUUCAUUAAAUUAGACAUCGAUAAGAGCUAGAUUACAAAGCUACGAGAUAAUGCAGAAUAUAGGGAUGGUUUGAAUAGAUUCCUUGAUUUUGCAUUUGCCAAUGCAUCAUCCGAUGGGAUGAUACACAUGUAUGAGGUGUGGGUUCCGAUUUUUCCAAACUAGAGAGGAUGCAUAUGAUCAUCUUUUGAUGAAACCCUUUCCCCCUAACUAUACUUUUUGGUUACAUCACGGUGAGAGGAUUGUAGAUGAGAGCUCCAGCGGUAGAGAAGAACUAGAACCCACUGGAAUCUCAGGAUAUCAAAUGCGUGACAUGGUCUACGAGGCAUUCAACUUCUCAGGACUGUAGGGUGAUGAUGAAGACUCAAUGAAUGAGCAUGUCGGAGACGUUGCAGAGGGACUGCCGUACUUAUCUGACGAACCUAGCCGCGAGGCUCAUGCCUUUCAUGACUUGCUUAAGGAUGGCGAGUAGGAAUUAUAUCUGGGAUGCUCAAGAUUCUCGAACCUAUCUUUCUUGGGGAGGCUGUACCGUAUAAAGUGCAUGUGCGGAGUGAGCGACAAGGCUUUCAAUUUGAUUCUAGAGCUAUUGAGGGAUGCCUUUGAGCAUGCAAAGAUUCUGCAGACCUUGCACGAUGCCAAGAGAAUUAUAGGAAAGCUCGGUAUUGAGUACAAGAAGAUAAAUGUAUGUCUAAAUGACUGCAUGCUAUACCUGAGUGAGGACCAAGACCUGUCUAGAUGCAAAUGGUGUGGAGCAUCCAGGUGGAAGCAAAAGACCCAGAAGAAUUUUUUGGUAAUGAUCAACAUCGUCGUCAAGAAGAAUGGGAAACCUCAAGCGGCGAAGGUUCUCCGUUACUUUCCUCUGAUUCCACAGUUGCAGCAAAUUUUCAUGUCUAGCAAGACAUCCAUGGACAUGUUGUGGCACAAAAGAUGAACUAACCCUGACGGUCCUUUGAGGCAUCCCAGGGAUGGCAAGGCCUGGAAUCAUUUGACAGGAGAUAUACUGACUUUUCUGGCAAUCCGCGCAGUGUUCGCUUAGCCUUGGCCAGUGAUUGCUUCAAUUCUUUUGGAAACAUGAGUUCAAAGUACUCAAUAUGGCCAGUGAUUCUUAUUCCAUACAACUUACCCCCUGGAUUUGCAUGAAACAAACCAACUAUAUUCUCUCCAUGAUUAUUCCCGGUCCUAAAAUGCCUGGCAAUGACAUAGAUGUCUACCUACAGCCCCUGAUCGAUGAGUUGAAACAGUUGUGUGCCGGUGUUGAUACAUACGAUGCUAGUGAGAAGAAAACCUUCAAGAUGCAUGCUGCGUUGCUGUGGACUAUCAGCAAUUUUCCUGGCUUGGGCAAUUUAUCUGGCUGGAAUACGUGUGGUGGGAGAGCUUUCCCCACGUGAAAUCUAGACGCUGAGACUAAGCGACCCACCUUCAAUCAGAAAUGGUGUUUCAUGGGUCAUCGUCGCUUCAUGAAUCAUGAUCACAGAUAUAGAUAGGACCGGAGUAGAUUUGAUGGCCAUGUAGAGGAUAGACCCCCACUUGUCACAUUGACUGGCUGGGAUAUCUUGAAGCAGUUGGAGGGUGUGCACGUCUCACAUGACAAGGUGCAAGCGGUGGGCGGUAAAAGAAAGUGCGGACAGCAGACCGUGGUGCAAGACGAGUCUCCCUGGAAAAGAGGAGUAUAUUCUUUGAUCUCCCAUACUGGGAGAACAACGAAUUACGUCACAACCUGGACGUAAUGCACAUUGAGAAGAAUGUGUGCGACAACAUUGUUUUCACCAUGUUGAACGACAGUGGUAAAUCUAAAGACCACCUAAAAGCUCGAAAACAUCUCUAGUUGAUGGGAAUCAGGCAUGAUAUGUGGCCACUUGAAGGUGGAAAGUAUCCCUCUGCAGUCUUUACCUUGUCCAAUCCAUAGAAGGAUGUCUUUCUGAGGACCAUCAAUAAUGUGGUCUUUUCAGACGGGUACUCUAGCAACAUCUCUCACUGUGUUGAUUUAAAACAGUGCAAGCUGUUAGGCUUAAACAGUCAUGACUGCCACAUUCUAAUGGAACAUCUAUUGCCAAUUGCUUGAAAACAUGUAUUGCCCACUCCGGGUCGUUACACAAAAAAGGCAAAAUUGGGACCAGGAGUUCAGCAACCUCAAACGGGAGCGAAUGCGGCUUUGGCUUCCCACCACGAUGACUCUCGAAUUCCCCCGGCCACUGGUGAUAGUGUACCUGCAACUUCAUGCCCGUUCCGUCCACCGCACAGCGAACGAAGGCCUGCUCCACAGAUGAGCACAGAUAGUACCCAGAACUCGCUGCCAGGCCACGUAAACUUGGGUGCUAAUACAAAUGAGGUAGAUUCUCUUGAGGAAGAAGUUGAUGACCUCAUUGAUGCUUCUGGAGCUCAGAGUCGCAAAGGACGAAAGACUACAGAGUUUUGGACGGUUAAGAUCAUCGAUUCUGACGGCACAAUCAAGCCGGCAAAACUAAGCGUGAGGGAGGCGAUGGAACGGCCUAACGGUAGAAGGAUUCAACAACACAAAGCAAGCAAUCAGAGACGAAGCUGGAUUGUUGAGUGUCGUGCUUGGUCUGCUGGGAUUUGACUAUGAAAAUUUUCCUAUAUGUGAGAAAAGUUGACGUAAUAUUACCACUAAAGGCAAUGUUUAUAACGAAUGUGUCAAGCAAAUUUUUCACUUUGAUGAAGAUAGUGAAGGAACUAUCAAGAAAAUUCUAAAAAGUAUGGGGAAGUCUUGGAAGGAAAUAAGGAUGAGGUUGUAUAGUGAUUUUUACGAUCCAACAUUCACGACUGAACAAAAUAUUGAUUACCGUCCACCAGGAAUUGAUCGAGAGCAUUGGAGAUGGUUCCUUGACUAUCGCGCCAAAGCUGAGACAAAGGUAAUCUAGUAUAUCAUUGGUACACAAUAGAAAAAGUGCAGGAAAAACGCGAUUAAUCGAUCAAAACAACCAUAUACCCAUACUGGCGGUUCGAAAAGCUUCGCGCGGUGGAUGGAAGAAGAGUCGGAACAACAAGGGAGGAGAGUCGGUAGAGGAGAGUUAUGGAUCACAGUGCACAAAAAAGACAUGGCUCCUAUAUCAAUGAUAAAGCAAGAGCAAUUGUUGAAAGAAUUGAGGAGAUAGGGCAACAGGAUGAGUCUUCUAAAGUGUUGUCUCCAAAUGAUUCCAUUGCUCAGGUUUUCGGAAAAGAAAGACCGGGUAGAGUACGUGGUGUGGGUUCCGGGCCGACUCCUAGUCAACUCUUCGGUCUGAAUUCACAUGUGACGGUCAACGGAGUCCAAGUAGAGGAGACCCAGAGGAAGCUGCUAGAACUGCAGGCAGAGCUGGAAGGCGAGAAGUUGAAGAGGAAGGUGAUGGAGGAUGAGGCAGCAGUAGAGAAGAAAAAGAGGCAGGCGAUGAAGAGUGCUCUGAUUUAUCUGUAUCAACAGCAGGGUGAGGAGCUCCCACCAGAAAUCGCUGUAGGGAUAAGUUCCGUCGAUUGAUAGAGUGAAGAAUAGUGUAUUAGGAUUGGAGAUAUUUUGGUUUGAAGCACACUUUUUUUUUAAUUAGACUAUGCAACUCUUUGCAAGAGAUUUGUUUUCUUCAUACUUUCAAGAAUAUAUUAUUUUGUUUUGUAGA